This 363-nucleotide transfer-messenger RNA is filed under the name Salmonella enterica. RNAcentral describes it as "Standard tmRNA". It matches the Rfam family "transfer-messenger RNA". Rfam says of the family: Bacterial tmRNA, also known as 10Sa RNA or SsrA, is named for its dual tRNA and mRNA-like properties. Its role is to liberate the mRNA from a stalled ribosome. The record is from RNAcentral. Lineage: Bacteria; Pseudomonadati; Pseudomonadota; Gammaproteobacteria; Enterobacterales; Enterobacteriaceae. RNAcentral also lists the same sequence under 11 other names.
GGGGCUGAUUCUGGAUUCGACGGGAUUUGCGAAACCCAAGGUGCAUGCCGAGGGGCGGUUGGCCUCGUAAAAAGCCGCAAAAAAAUAGUCGCAAACGACGAAACCUACGCUUUAGCAGCUUAAUAACCUGCUUAGAGCCCUCUCUCCCUAGCCUCCGCUCUUAGGACGGGGAUCAAGAGAGGUCAAACCCAAAAGAGAUCGCGCGGAUACCCUGCCUGGGGUUGAAGCGUUAAAACGAAUCAGGCUAGUCUGGUAGUGGCGUGUCCGUCCGCAGGUGCCAGGCGAAUGUAAAGACUGACUAAGCAUGUAGUACCGAGGAUGUAGGAAUUUCGGACGCGGGUUCAACUCCCGCCAGCUCCACCA